RNAcentral lists this long non-coding RNA (5028 nucleotides) under Nicotiana benthamiana. RNAcentral's name for it is "long non-coding RNA (NBEN_LNC004241)". Lineage: Eukaryota; Viridiplantae; Streptophyta; Magnoliopsida; Solanales; Solanaceae. The record is from RNAcentral.
AACAAAUGGAAAUAAUGGAAAUGAAGGCAUGCGUCAUUCUGCAUGCAGCAGUAGCAGUGGCAAAGAAGAAUUCUCUAGGAUUCAUUACAGUUUUACAAGUGCGGAAAACCACGCAGCAGUAAGUGGUGCGUCCAAUAUAUGUGGUUUCAAUCAUUAAUACUUUCUACCAAAGAACUAAAUAUAGACCUCGAAUAACAUAAAACGCAACUAUUAUUAAUAUUCUUUUGUGAAUAAUUAAGUUGUAAUUAGCUGGAAUAAAUCAUAUACAGAGGCAUCAAUUAAUGUACAAAAUAUCAUUUGAUGGGGGUAAUUUUAAUAUCAUUUAGGUUGACUUCGGUCAACAUUUUGAGUAAACGGAUCCGGACCCGUGAUUUAAUGUUCCCGGAAGGCCUGUAGCAAAAUAUGGGACUUGAGCGUAUAUCCGGAAUCGAAUUCCAAGGUCUCAAACCCCAUAAAUGAAUUUUUGAAAGAAAUUAUUUAACUGAAAUUAUAAGAGUCCUCAGAAAUUUAAAUAUGUUUGAAUUUGAUGGUAUCGGGCCCGUAUUUUGGUUCCGGAGCCCGAUAUGGGUCUUAUAUGGGAUUUAAGUUGAGCUUGCAAAAUUUGGUAAGAAACAGACUUGAAAUGACGUGAUCGGACCUUCGGUUGUUAAAACUUGAACUUAAGAGUUCAUGAGAUCUUGAACUAAAUUCAUAGUUAUUGAUGUUAUUUUGAUGAUUUGAUCGCACAAGCAAGUCCGUAUGAUAUUUUUGGACUUGCGUUCAUGUUUGGUUUGGAGCCCCGAGGGCUCGGGUGAGUCUUGGAUAGGCCACAUAGUGAAAUUUGGACCGUAUGAUGUUUUUGGACUUGCAUGCAUGUUUGGUAUGGAGCCCCGAGGGCUCGGGUGAGUUUUGGAUAGGCCACAGAGUGUUUUGAACUUAAGAAAAAUUGUUGUGUGUUACAGGUUUGUUGCGAGCUCACAUUUGCGAAGACUGGGCUGGGUAGGAAACCUUCGUAACUGCGAAGCUUAUGUCGCAGUUGCGACCUUAGCAGGCAUCGCAUUUGCGGAUAAUGGUUCGCAUUUGCGAAAAAGGCAGAGUUGGGCAUCCUUCGCGAUUGUGAGUUCGCAUUUGCGAACGUAUCAUCGCAAUUUUGAUAUCUGCGCCUGUGUAAAUCAAAACUUAGCCGAAAAUUUCUCAUUUAUCAAACUCUCUCAAACCUAAAAUACCGUUGGGUGAUUUUUCAAAGACAAUUACUCUUUAAAAUUGAUUGUAAGUCAUUUCUAACGCAUUUUCAUUAAUUUUUAACAUCUUUUCUCAUGAUUUCAACUCAAAAAUCAAAAGUUUUCACGAGAAAUUGGAUGUUUUGUGUAGAACUAAGUUGCUCUGACACGGUUGCGGGUGUCCGACAUGGGUGCGGAUCUAGAGGUCGGAUCCUUUGAGAUAGAAAUUUUAAGAUCCGGGGAUACCGAUCGUAGAACCGACACGGGUACGGGGAUCCGACUAAAAAUAAUUCAAAAAAUAAAAUAAAACAAAAUGGCUUUGGAAAUGGAGGCAGCAUGCGUUUGGAAUAUAAUGUGUAAAGAAGUAGAAGACACUAGGGCAUUUGUUUGGUGAGAAGAACAUUUGGUAGUGGCUAUACUGUCACCUUUAGACUUUUUGACUUUUUGUCUUAUACAUGUACUAACAAUCAAUAUUUCCUUCAUCUUUAGGCGCAACUUUGUGCGAUUGGUACGUGUACAUCUUUGGAACUUUAAGAAUAAAUAGUGCCAAUAUUACUAAUCAGCAAACUAACGAGGCAAUAUUACUAUAACAAUAGUAUAUUAUAAUAUACAUAGGAAUAUAAUAUAUUAGAUCUCAAAUUAGAUACCAGUCCAGCAGUCCCCCCAUUAGCAACUUCUCUGCCUUAAAGAAAAACACAGAGCUGAAGAACGCGAAGCAUGGAAGCUCAAAGAUUGUUCAAGACAAAAAGCUUCAAAGGAGACAAAAGGAGUAGUAUAAAUUACUAUAUUGCAGCGAAAUUGAAGGUUCGUUUCCCAUCUCUUCAAAUCUUUACUUACGGAAAUCAAUUUCCCCAAAUUUUUGGUCAACGCACCCGAUGUAGCCUGACCGGAUCCGAAUUUCCCAUCUCUUCAAAUCUUUACUUAGGGAAAUUAAUUUUCCCAAAUUUUUGGUCAACGCACCCGAUGUAGUCUGACCGGAUCCGACACAGAUCCCACACCCUUACUAGUAUCAGUGUCGUGUCGAUACCGGUACGGCACCGGAAUUGUCGUGUCCGAGCAACUUAGAUGUAGAACAUAGAUUUUUCAAAAUUUGGGGAUUUGGACCUCGAUUUGAGGUCCGCUUUCAAAACAAAUUAUACAUUCGGGCUCGUGGGUGAAUAGGUAAUCGGGUUUUGGUUCGAACCUCGGGUUUUGACCUUGUGGGCUCGAGGUCGAUUUUGACUUUUUGGCAAAAACUUUAGAAAACUUAUUUUCAUGCAUUAGAAUUGAUUCAUUUAGCAUUUAUUGAUAUAGUUAAGUAACUUGUAGCUAGAUACGAGCGAAUUGGUGGCGGAAUCAAGAGGUAAAGCGGUAGUUGAGGCUUGAAUUGUGUUUGUGGUAUCGAGGUAAGUGAUAGGUCUACCCUUAACUUGAGGGAUUAGGAGUUGUGUCUUAUUUGAUAUGCGUUAAUUGUGGAGUACAACGUAUAGGCAUGGUGACGAGUAUCUAUACGUCGGUGUCAAGCAUGCACGUGGGUCUAGUGUUGUAAUUGUUGUGACUCCGUUGAGUUUUAUUCAUGCUCAAUAUGUUGAUUGUCAUUGUUGACUCCCUUGCCGGGAUAUUAUUGUUUGUGAUAUUAACUCCCUUGCCGGGAUAUUAUUGUUAUGACAUUGUCUUCCUUGCCAGAAUGUUAUUGUUUACGAUAUUGUUUUCCUUGCCAGAAUUGUUGUUGUUAUACUAUUGUUCUCUUGUCGAGAUUCUUUGGUGAUUGAUGUUGAUCUGUAAAUGGGAGCGGGUUGCACGCCUGCAACGAGAUAUAUGAAAUGGGAGCGGGUUGCACGCCUGCAACGAGAUACAUGAAAUGGAAGCGGGUCGCACGCCAGCAACAAGAUAUAUAAAAUGGGAGCGGGUUGCACACCUGCAACGAGAUAUUUGAGAUGGGAUCGGGUUGCACGCAUGCAACGAGAUAUAUGAAAUGAGAUCGGGUUGCACGCAUGCAAUAAGGAAGAAAUGAAAGUAGAUAUUUAAAGAAGAAAUGAAAGUGGAUAUUGUGUUCGUUUUCCUUAUCCUUGUUAGCAAUUGAAUUUUGGCUUCUUUACAUUCCUCUUUUUUUUUGGUAUUCGAUUGUUACCUAAUACUCCCCGUAAAAUUGUGACAGAUCCGUGUAUUUCUAUUCGGACUUAAUUUGUAGUACUCUUAGACAACCUGUGAAAUUGUGACACCAAAUUCUAUGUAGAGUUGUAUUUAGACUUCCGCCAGUUUGUAUUAAGCUGAAUUAUUAGAUUUCGUCUUCCACUUUGUUAUUUAUAUAAUUAUUUUCGUUAUUUUAAUAUGUUGUUUUGAAAUUAUAAGGACUUAAAGGCUUGAAAAGGAUAAUUAAAUCGGAAUAGUUGGCUUGCCUAGCUUUUACUAAUAGGCGCAAUCACGACUCCCGAUGGUGGGAAAUCCGGGUUAUGACACUCGUAUUUAAGUGGAGAAGGGCAUAGAGGCGGGCCCAUCAUCCCCGAAUUUAGAAGGUUGCGCGUGGCCCAAAAGGUCAACUCCAGAUCGAUUUCUCAAUCAUAAAAAAAGAAUAUGGUGAAGUGAAACAAUGGUAAGAUGCAUUCUGUAAUAGGAAUGCAUAGAAAGAUAACAUACUUCAAGCCAGUUAGACAACCAGAAGAACUAAUCAGAAAUUAUUCCACGGAAAAUAAUGCAGAACUUGAAGAAAUAUAGUGUAUAUUGUUUUGCUUAUUCCGAAAAAAAAAAAAAAAAAGAAAACAAAAAGGGAGACUAGAGUAAAGUAGUAUGUAUCCUGAGUUUUAAAGGAACAGUAUUUCACAGAUCAUCUAUCAUUAAAGAGAGAAACUACCAUGCAUGGAAGAAAAACAUCCUCCCCCCCCCCACUUUUUAAAGGUACAGUAUUUCACAGAUCAGCUAUCAUUAAAGAGAGAAACUACCAUGCAUGGAAGAAAAACAUCCUCCCUUAGGGAAAUUAAUUUUCCCAAAUUUUUGGUCAACGCACCCGAUGUAGUCUGACCGGAUCCGACACAGAUCCCACACCCUUACUAGUAUCAGUGUCGUGUCGAUACCGGUACGGCACCGGAAUUGUCGUGUCCGAGCAACUUAGAUGUAGAACAUAGAUUUUUCAAAAUUUGGGGAUUUGGACCUCGAUUUGAGGUCCGCUUUCAAAACAAAUUAUACAUUCGGGCUCGUGGGUGAAUAGGUAAUCGGGUUUUGGUUCGAACCUCGGGUUUUGACCUUGUGGGCUCGAGGUCGAUUUUGACUUUUUGGCAAAAACUUUAGAAAACUUAUUUUCAUGCAUUAUCAUAUCUUCAUGCUAUUCCUCAGCACUAAAAACAGCAAGUACAACCAAAAGGGGCUUACUUCUUCAAUCCAAUAAAAAUGUCUAACAGUGAAAAUCCAAAGAUCCGACAUCAGUAUCAUGCUAUUGCCAACAGUUUUUUUUUUUUUUGUUUAUUUUGUCCUUUUUUUUUUUUGAGAGAAAGGUAACUGUAAUAUAAAGAUAGCACUAAGUACUGUAGUAAUUACUAGCGAGCAAAAAACCAAAAGAAAAAAUACUUUCCAGUCUUACAGGGAUUCUAAGAGGCAAAGUAUGGAAGCUGUUGCACAAUUUUAACCUCAAUGCAUAAAUGGUUGCACAUUGAACAGAUGGAAAUAAUGGUGAAGGCAUGUGUCAUUCUGCAUGCAGCAGUAGCAGUGGCAAAGAAGAAUUCUCUAGGAUUCGUUACAGUUUUACAAGUGCGGAAAAAUCACGCAGCAGUAAGUGGUGCGUCCAAUAUAUGUGGUUUCAAUCAUUAAUACUUUAUCCCAAAGAACUAAAUAUAGACCUCAAAUAACAUAAAACGCA